UGGGGAAUUUUGGACAAUGGGCGCAAGCCUGAUCCAGCAAUGCCGCGUGCAGGAUGAAGGCCUUCGGGUUGUAAACUGCUUUUGUACGGAACGAAACGGCGAGCUCUAAUACAGUUUGCUAAUGACGGUACCGUAAGAAUAAGCACCGGCUAACUACGUGCCAGCAGCCGCGGUAAUACGUAGGGUGCAAGCGUUAAUGGGAAUUACUGGGCGUAAAGCGUGCGCAGGCGGUUAUGUAAGACAGAUGUGAAAUCCCCGGGCUUAACCUGGGAACUGCAUUUGUGACUGCAUAGCUAGAGUACGGUAGAGGGGGAUGGAAUUCCGCGUGUAGCAGUGAAAUGCGUAGAUAUGCGGAGGAACACCGAUGGCGAAGGCAAUCCCCUGGACCUGUACUGACGCUCAUGCACGAAAGCGUGGGGAGCAAACA
Molecule: ribosomal RNA, 427 nt
Filed under: uncultured bacterium
Lineage: Bacteria
Description: partial 16S ribosomal RNA
Rfam family: Bacterial small subunit ribosomal RNA
Source: RNAcentral